RNAcentral lists this transfer RNA (74 nucleotides) under Candidatus Jacksonbacteria bacterium. RNAcentral's name for it is "tRNA-Arg". It matches the Rfam family "tRNA". From Rfam's summary of the family: Transfer RNA (tRNA) molecules are approximately 80 nucleotides in length. Their secondary structure includes four short double-helical elements and three loops (D, anti-codon, and T loops). Lineage: Bacteria; Candidatus Jacksoniibacteriota. The record is from RNAcentral.
GCACCUAUAGCUCAACUGGAUAGAGCGUCUGGCUUCGGACCAGGAGGUUGUAGGUUCGAGUCCUACUGGGUGUA